CCGGUGGCUGCAGUGGGGAAUAUUGGGCAAUGGGCGCAAGCCUGACCCAGCAACGCCGCGUGAAGGAAGAAGGCUUUCGGGUUGUAAACUUCUUUUGUCAGGGAAGAGUAGAAGACGGUACCUGACGAAUAAGCCACGGCUAACUACGUGCCAGCAGCCGCGGUAAUACGUAGGUGGCAAGCGUUAUCCGGAUUUACUGGGUGUAAAGGGCGUGUAGGCGGGGACGCAAGUCAGAUGUGAAAACCACGGGCUCAACCUGUGGCCUGCAUUUGAAACUGUGUUUCUUGAGUACUGGAGAGGCAGACGGAAUUCCUAGUGUAGCGGUGAAAUGCGUAGAUAUUAGGAGGAACACCAGUGGCGAAGGCGGUCUGCUGGACAGCAACUGACGCUGAGGCGCGAAAGCGUGGGGAGCAAACAGGAUUAGAUACCCUAGUAGUC
Molecule: ribosomal RNA, 438 nt
Filed under: uncultured bacterium
Lineage: Bacteria
Description: partial 16S ribosomal RNA
Rfam family: Bacterial small subunit ribosomal RNA
Source: RNAcentral